AGUGAACGCUGGCGGCGUGCCUAAUACAUGCAAGUCGAACGGAAUUUAAAAGAGCUUGCUCUUUUAAAUUUAGUGGCGCACGAGUGAGUAAUAUAUAGCUAAUCUGCCCCUUGCUGGAGGACAACAGUUAGAAAUGACUGCUAAUACUCCAUACUCCUUUUUACCAUAAGAUAAAUCGGGAAAGAAUUUCGGCAAGGGAUGAGACUAUAUCGUAUCAGCUAGUCGGUGGGGUAACGGCCUACCGAGGCUAUGACGCGUAACUGGUCUGAGAGGAUGAUCAGUCACAUUGGAACUGAGACACGGUCCAAACUCCUACGGGAGGCAGCAGUAGGGAAUAUUGCGCAAUGGGGGAAACCCUGACGCAGCAACGCCGCGUGGAGGAUGACACUUUUCGGAGCGUAAACUCCUUUUGUUAGGGAAGAAUAAAGACGGACCUAACGAUAG
RNAcentral lists this ribosomal RNA (444 nucleotides) under Campylobacter gracilis. RNAcentral's name for it is "bacterial SSU rRNA". It matches the Rfam family "Bacterial small subunit ribosomal RNA", at positions 29 to 487 of the family's 1533-position model. The record is from RNAcentral. Lineage: Bacteria; Pseudomonadati; Campylobacterota; Epsilonproteobacteria; Campylobacterales; Campylobacteraceae.